ACAACCCCGGCAACCAGUCCUCACUCCCCACAUGCUUUUCAUCACCCACUCGCACACAACAUCUGGGCGUCUGCUUCCAUCCUACCAUUUCAGCAGGAUCAGAGCAGCCAGCAUCUGCAUGAGGAGAACUGAAGUCCAAGCAACUGCUGGGAGUGUGAUGACUCCAAGAAGCAGGGCCAAGAACAGGGACUGAAAGAGGUACAUGGACUGGCCCUCGCUCACCAGGAGAUUAACCCUUCAGGCCGCCGAGUGAAAGGGGACCACGCAGGCCCUGACAGGAGCCCAGGAUGCAGGGGAAUUCAAAACCCAUCCACCUGCUCAGGGAAGACUUUGCUGAAGACUGCCACGCUGUGGCCUCGUCCUCCUGGGGACAUGUGUGGCAAGCGUUUUCCCGCCCACUGAUGUGGCACUGGCUCAUUUAUGACUUCCUUAUGACCUCAUUUUUCACUGUCAUGCUUGUACUGUUGUUUAACAACUUUGUGUAACGGUCUCUUCUCACUCCAAAUAAACAGCAGCACCUGGAAGGCAA
Molecule: long non-coding RNA, 529 nt
Organism: Eptesicus fuscus (big brown bat)
Lineage: Eukaryota; Metazoa; Chordata; Mammalia; Chiroptera; Vespertilionidae
Exons: 3
Source: RefSeq, a predicted model, not a curated record